This is a long non-coding RNA of Rosa rugosa (rugosa rose), 1812 nucleotides long. RefSeq lists it as uncharacterized. The record is from RefSeq and is a predicted model, not a curated record. NCBI's taxonomy places the organism in Eukaryota, Viridiplantae, Streptophyta, Magnoliopsida, Rosales, Rosaceae. The transcript is spliced from 8 exons.
CUUCUCCUCUCUCACUGUGCUGCCGUUCCGGGUUUCUUUCAUUCGAUUCAUUUUAUCUACUGCGGAUCCACCAAAUUUAUCGGGGAACUAGCUGCACCGAUGAAAAAGGAGUUGCAGAGCUUUUGGUUGUUUGACAUCGUUUUGAACCUGGAAGGCUCAGAUCUACAAAAGCCCCCAACUUCCCAGGUUCGAUAUCGCCGGAUACACGACACGCGUCACCGUCCCCUUUACUUUUAAGGCCUUAAGGUGAAUGAUUGAGGACUAUUCAUAAUCAGUAGCUUGCUAACAUACCCGAUCUAUCAAUUUAUGGCUUUUCUGAGUCUUAUGUGGUGGGAUUUUGUUAAUUUUCAGUUUGGGUGUUUUAUUAAGUUCUGAAUUGUGAAAUUUGAAUCUUUUGGGGCUAGUUUAGUUUUUUGAAUGCUUCUUUAGGAUCAACAUUGUUUGAGUUGUUUGAUUUUCCCAAAUUCAUGAUUGAAAUAUUAGGUUACUGAUUGACUUGUCUUGAUUUGGUUUAUUUCAGUUCAGUAGUAUCAAAAUUCAAAGUUUCAUUGUUAUUCUACUAUACUUGUGAUCUUUAUUGAUGUGUUCUUGUAUCAACAAUAGUUGGUAAUAUUUGGUAUUUCUAAUACAGUAGCUCUCAGCCUCUAUUGGUAAUUACUUUCAUGCGCGCGUACUCCUUGCUUAACAUAUCUGAGUCUUCUUCAUCAGAGUUGGUCCACUAUUGAUAUUAACCUCGGGCUGAGGUAUCUCUUUAGUAACAAAGACAUCUUCUUCAUGGAGUUGAGUUCCAAUGCUUCUGAUGUGCUAUACAAGAUUAGAUUCCUUUCCCUCACAUAUAAGGAAAUUCAGAUUAAAUUAGACCAAGAGAGAGAAUCCUCUCCUAUGUGACUGGGGUACAUGUAUGACAAAGGAGGUGGCUUGAUCAAGAACUUGGGAAUUAUAGCAAAAUCUGGAACUUCAUGUCUCUUUUGUUGUUAUAUUGAAGUUUACAUUUGUUAUCUAUUUUGAAUGCAAUUGAUGGAAAGGUAAAAGUUAUUAGAACCUAUUGUUUGUUUAUUUGUCUUUAGUUUGUAUAAUAGUACUACUUUUGUGUGAGGACCUUGUUGAUCUAGUUAAAUUAAUUAAUUAUAGUUUGCAGGGGUUGAUGUUAAAUAUGAAGAGAUAAUUGAAGCAACCUCAACUGGCUCCAGUUCAAUGAUUUCCAAGAUUGUUCAAAUGGUUGAGGAUGCUCAAGGCCAUGAAGCACCAAUAGAAGGGCUCACUGAUUCAAUAGCUGGAUCUUUUGUAUACAGUAUAAUGACUCUCAGCUACAAUAUUUGCUUUUUGAAACAAAGGGAGGUGGAAUCAGAAAGGAUAGAGAAGAUGCCGGAGGAACAUGCAGCCGUGAACCUGCUUUCUAACUGUGCUCGAGGCUCGACAUGAACAUCACUGGCAGAUUCAUUGGCAGAUAUGGUAUGAUUGCAGAAAAGAAUACAUCUACCUUUGUUUUCUUUAAGAACUUCAGGUACUGUGAGCACGUUGCCAUUUGCUUUGAAAGAGUUUGUCCAUAUCAAAGAAGGGUUGCAAUUGUGGAGAAGAAAUUUUGUUGUCUCUGGAUGUAAUGAAUUAUUUUGAGUUCGUGAAUUUGUUGUAUGAUGCAUUUUUUAAUAUAGUAUACAUUACAUGAAAUGUAGAGGUGUUAAAUACUAGUAUUUGCUAGUAUUUGGGACCUAUUUUUUUAUUCCAGUUUAAUGAUUUUGCCACUGAUAUCAGUGGAAUUCCGAAGCCACCGAUAUUUGGAUCAGUUGCUUUGGCACUGAUUUGGAUGCAAUU